GCUCUCGGGUGACGAGCGGCGGACGGGCUCGAGUAAUGUCUGGGAAACUGCCUGAUGGAGGGGGAUAACUACUGGAAACGGUAGCUAAUACCGCAUAACGUCGCAAGACCAAAGUGGGGGACCUUCGGGCCUCAUGCCAUCAGAUGUGCCCAGAUGGGAUUAGCUAGUAGGUGGGGUAACGGCUCACCUAGGCGACGAUCCCUAGCUGGUCUGAGAGGAUGACCAGCCACACUGGAACUGAGACACGGUCCAGACUCCUACGGGAGGCAGCAGUGGGGAAUAUUGCACAAUGGGCGCAAGCCUGAUGCAGCCAUGCCGCGUGUGUGAAGAAGGCCUUCGGGUUGUAAAGCACUUUCAGCGGGGAGGAAGGCGAUAAGGUUAAUAACCUUGUCGAUUGACGUUACCCGCAGAAGAAGCACCGGCUAACUCCGUGCCAGCAGCCGCGGUAAUACGGAGGGUGCAAGCGUUAAUCGGAAUUACUGGGCGUAAAGCGCACGCAGGCGGUCUGUCAAGUCGGAUG
This 520-nucleotide ribosomal RNA is filed under the name Klebsiella pneumoniae. Its description in RNAcentral is "bacterial SSU rRNA". It matches the Rfam family "Bacterial small subunit ribosomal RNA", at positions 80 to 594 of the family's 1533-position model. The record is from RNAcentral. Lineage: Bacteria; Pseudomonadati; Pseudomonadota; Gammaproteobacteria; Enterobacterales; Enterobacteriaceae.